CUUGGCUCAAGGGAUGACUUUCAAUAGAUCGCAGCGAGGUAGCUGCUCUGCUACGUACGAAACCCUGACCCAGAAUCAGGUCGUCUAAGAAUGAAUCAGCACGGGU
Molecule: long non-coding RNA, 106 nt
Organism: Nanorana parkeri
Lineage: Eukaryota; Metazoa; Chordata; Amphibia; Anura; Dicroglossidae
Exons: 3
Source: RefSeq, a predicted model, not a curated record